CGGGGUGGAGUAAUGUCUGGGAAACUGCCUGAUGGAGGGGGAUAACUACUGGAAACGGUAGCUAAUACCGCAUAACGUCGCAAGACCAAAGAGGGGGACCUUCGGGCCUCUUGCCAUCGGAUGUGCCCAGAUGGGAUUAGCUAGUAGAUGGGGUAACGGCUCACCUAGGCGACGAUCCCUAGCUGGUCUGAGAGGAUGACCAGCCACACUGGAACUGAGACGCGGUCCAG
Molecule: ribosomal RNA, 230 nt
Filed under: uncultured bacterium
Lineage: Bacteria
Description: partial 16S ribosomal RNA
Rfam family: Bacterial small subunit ribosomal RNA
Source: RNAcentral